RNAcentral lists this long non-coding RNA (6544 nucleotides) under Zea mays. RNAcentral describes it as "long non-coding RNA (ZMAY_LNC000655)". Lineage: Eukaryota; Viridiplantae; Streptophyta; Magnoliopsida; Poales; Poaceae. The record is from RNAcentral.
GCCCACACGCGAAGGCACCUAGCAGCCGCCACUCGCCGAACUGAGGAACACGCCGGGCGACGGGAUACAGCAGCAGCGCGCCCCUCUAUCCCCGACGCGACGGCGCCCUGCAGCUGCAGGCACGGCUCCACACCUCCACUCUUCUCCUCCGUCUCCGUUCAUCUCUGCUGAGUAGUUGUGGUUGUGGCGUGUGGAUUAAUCGCGAUUAAUCGAUCUGAUCGGCGCUCUGGCGAUCAGAAACGAUCGACCGAUUAGAAAACAUUGGUGCUCAGGCAUCCGCAUCUGUCAACCCCCCCCCUCUUGUUCUGUUCCGGUACUGCCUUUUCAGCCCUCGAGUCCUACUGUAGGUGUUGAAGUAGUAAUUUGUUUUGUGCGCGCAAGUUCGAUUUCAUGUCUGCAUGUCAAUAGCUUUCGAUUUUUUGGGUCAUCUAUUUAGUGCAGUUUUGAAGUACUUCAUUUUUUUUACCGAUUUUUCGUUACUCCAUCUGUGUGUGCCUGGGAAUUGCGGAUCCCCACCCACCCCACCACGUCUUCUGAAGGGAGUUCAAGAGGAAACCCUUGAAUUCUAUGGGGUUUGUCCGCUCUGAAAUUUCUUUUGCUACUUGUUUCGAUUUUUUCCGAAGUAUCCAAACAAUACCUCACGAAUCUGCUUAUGUAUCAAUAAUGUGGGUAUAUCUAUUUGUUUGUUCUCAUAGUCUGGCAUAUGUAUUAUAGAUAAACCUGUUCCAAUGGCCAAACAAAAAGAGGGUGUGGACAAAAGAACUGCUAGGAAGAUGAUCCGAUCUACGGAAGGCUGUGCAAAGAGCAUUACUUUGGAGAGGAACAACAAAUCAGACGAUGUGCAGCUUCACGAUCUGCCGAAUGUAAGAGCAAUUCGAAAUAGUUCAAUGCUCCUUUUGCAGUAAGCAUAUAUGUGAAAUGGUUCAAAAGAGUUUGAUAGGACCAGGUAAUCAGUGGUUCAGUUUACUCGGCUGCUUACUCACGCUACUUACUACGUGCAGGACAUCCUAGGUAGCAUACUAUCACGGUUGACAUUCAGAGAAUCCUCACAGAUGGGCCUUGUUUCUCAUACCUGGCGGCGGCUGUGGAGAAGCUGUUGCCGGAAACUGGUCUUCACCAGUGCCACCAUGUUCCAACCCGGAAAUAGGAGCAUCAAACAUACAAGGACCAACUUUGCCAUGAGAGUCAACAGUUUCUUGCGUCAGCUACGCACUCAUCCUACUCUUAAUAAGUUUGUUAUUAAGUUCGGGCUGCGCAGGAAGCACACUCGCCAUGUCAACAGAUGGAUUCGCUUCUGCUCCGUGUCGCGAGCAAGACACAUCACUAUUAAUUUCACUCCUGGAGUGAAAGAUUUUUUCAUGGGUCCAGCCAACAGCAAGUACAUCUUCCCCCUGAACGUUUUCAGUGGUCCAGAAGGCUCCUCUACACAUGUCAGAACUCUUCAUCUGGGCUAUGUCUGUCUGGACACAACCUCGUCUGAUUUCAUGAUCUUUGCAAAUCUUAAGAAGCUCACUCUGCACAAAAUUUCCUUUUUGGGAGACCUCCAGUGCCUGAUGCUGCCAGAAUGCAAUUCUCUUGAGUGUCUGAGCAUCAGCUUCUGUUCCUUGCCUGGUUUAAGCACAUGCCAACCGCUGCAACGUCUGCGAUGUGUUCGUUUGCACUACUGCUAUCUAAAAAAGAUUGAGCUGGAAGCUCCAAAUCUAACAUCGUUUGACUUGACCAACCAACCAAUUCCAUUUGUGCUUGGUGGAUCUCUGAAUGUAAUGGAAGCCAACAUUAAACUGUUAGCUAAGGACUCACCUUAUGGUGAUAAUCUGGACUACAUCUACACUGAGCUUCCUGCUGCGCUGUCUCAUGUGCAUAAACUCUCGAUAACCUCGGGUCUCUUCGUUUAUGAUCAGGUUUUGUCUGUUGCUGAAAGCACUUAAGUUCAUUCAACUAUUACUUACCUUUAUUUGCACCUGACAUGUUUGUUCUUCAUCUCAUACAUAUUUUGACUCUCAUGGUUAUAUUUCAGCUGCAAGGGUUUUCCAAAACCUCAGCCAGAUUCAUCAAUCUGAGGCAUCUGACCAUGUAUUUGCCUCUUUAUGGGGAACCUAAGUCAAUUAGUGGGAUUCUUCGCUUGGCCUACCUACUGGAAUUGGCCCCAGCUCUAGAAGAAUUGGAAUUGCAUGUGAGUGGCUUACUAACUCUAUAAUCUGUUAUAGAUUUUCUCAAGGUAUGCCUUAUCUGUAGAAGUUUUUGUAGAGCAAUUGCAGCACUAGUGUACCAGGCAUAUUGUUUAUCAUCUUUGCUAAUUUUGAAUUGUCUGAAUAUUUAUUAUCCCUCAUUAAUCCAAAACUCUACAGUUCAAAAUUGCAGUAACAUAAAAGUUGUUGAGUGUUGAUGUUGUAGUUAAAAAAGAUUUAAAAAGACAAAAAAGUAGCAAUGUUGCAAUCAAUUGAACAUUGAACACUAUUGUACUUCAUUACCAUACAAGCCGAGGUGCCCAUGCGUUGGUAGUUUGCUUCAAGGUCUCGAAUACAUGAUAGUUUAAAAUUGUAUUGCUGGAACUGGGUGAUGUUCCACAGCUUAGAAAGUGGUCUUAUAAGUAGGCCUGUGGGUACCGUGUACGAAUGUAAAGGAGCAAGUCGAAGUGGUUUCAGCCAAAACAAAUAGACUAACUAUGUACAUUUCAUCUUCUCCACUUCCUCACGCAGCCACAGCCAUUAAUUCCCUCACACUGUCAUGAGCUCACGGUCGCACGACUCCUUCCCCCACUUCCUCUAUGCCUCCCACAACGGUGACCCACUAGGCGAAACAACACUUCUACGCCUCCCUCGACGGACAACCCACCCGAGCCCACACAUCUCCUGCAACGCUGCUCCUCCAGCGACUCUGCUCCUCGCCUCCUCCCACAACGGCGAAGUGCAGUUCUCCUCCCGCGAAACGGCAAGGGUGGCGCUGCUCCUCGCCGCCUCCAUGACGGCGCUCCUCCCGCGACCGGCUGCUUUGGCCACCCAACCAACAUUGUGCAUGCCAAGAAAACAAUGCUGUGGUUGAUGUCAUAAUAAACACAUAUUGGUUUGAGCUCUCACAUAAAACAAUUUUCGUAACAUUCACUAGUGAUGGACAGAGAAUAGACAAAAAAAACACAAGGAACAACAGCCAAUGAUGUAUAUGCCUGUGGCAUUGGGCUGGCUGGUUAAGCAUAUGGCCAACAGUCAUUUGUUGUCAUGUGGCCAAAUGUGAAUAGGUGAGGGUAGUAAAAUGAACCUUUUCCCUUCAAAGAAAUCAAACUUUUAGCCUUUUAUUUUACCGUUCCCAUCGUCUUCUCCAGCCAUUCUACAAGCAGAAGCGCUCCUCUUCAGUUCUGCCUGCGCAGAUCUAUCUUGGUUGUGCCCUCUCUCUCCCCCCCCCCCCCCAUAGCCACAGUCCUCAUACUCCCCUGCUUUCUUCCCCCCUCUCUGGCUUCUUUUUAACGAGGUUGUUCCUGCAUUCCCGGAACGUUCUGGUUACUAUGUUUGGGACCAAACCAAACAUUUAGCUCAAUAUCGCCACACUUAGGCUUUAAACCCCAAAAGGGCAAGCUUGAUGUGGCGGUGAGAGCUGUCUCACUUGAGUCAUCAUGUUGGUGAGAGCCUCUGGCACUGGGUCUGCUCUCUUAGGCUUUAAACCCACCAUAUGUCUGAUAUAUUUCAUUGGUCUCAUUUGUGUUGUGUGAAUCAUUUUCACCAAAUGAUAACUUUACCAAGCAAGGUUUUCAAGUCGAUAAGUCGAGUCGACAAGGUACCGACUUGGUGACUAGACGAUAAGUCAGUUGACUAGUCGUCGACUUGCCAAUAUAGUGGAUGUUUUCCCUAUAUAAUUGCUUCAUAUAGACAAUAUAACAUUUAUAUAUGAAGAAAUAGGAUGUUUUACCUCAUUUGAAGCCUGAAAUUGAACGAAACUGAAAUAAACAACAAGUCUUACCUCAUUUGAAUCCUCAAACUGAACCAAAUCAGACACAUAAGUGAUAAGUCAUAAACUCAUAAGUCAUAACAGCCAUAUAGUUCAAAUUGGAAAACAAAUAGCAAGAAAAUAUAGUUCAAACUUGAAAGGAAAAAAGUCAUAAACUUAUAAGAAAAUAUAGUCCAACCCCUGUGAGGCAGUAGUGUGGCAGUCCCACCUGUCAACAUAGCUGUGGUAGAACAUACCACCACCACUGUCGCUUUUUAAGUAGUGAAGAUUAUUUGGGUGAUACAAUACAGUUUUAUCCAUUUCUGAAGCCAAUUGGAUUUUUUUGUAUUGGCAUUGAUGAAAGUAUGUGAAAUGUAAACUGUAAGUAGUACUUUCAUACGGAUGUCAAAUAUAACAGUCCUAGUUGUGAUGUUAUUAGGGUUACAUUGCUGCUAGAGGACACUAGGACUAGGAUAGUAUGUGUUUCAUUAAACCUUACAAGUAUGUUUGAUUCCACGUUUAUUGGUUUCACAGGCCUGUUCUUAUUGUUUUCAUAUGUAUGAUGUGAUUCUAAAUGUGUAAUUUGUGUUUGCUUAAUUUCUCCUUGUUUAUUUUUUUCCCCACAUUCAUAUGAAAAAUUGAUAUGAUGGAUCUCAUAAGUCUGGCAUCUUUGCAUGCAGGUGAAUGGCGGUGGCGUGGAUGUUGGGUGGGCACUCAGACGGAAUAUGUUACCGUACUCACACAAUAGGCUCAAGAGGGUCCUUAUUUCAGGAGCCACUGUAUGGGAGGGGCUAAUGGAGCUGGCAUACUACAUUCUUCGGAGUGCCAAUAGACUCGAAAGUAUGGUCUUAGAUCCAAAGAUAAGGAUUGGGGGUCCUCAGCUGGAUGGUUGGAUGAUUGAUAUUGGUAGGGAGACGAUCAAAAAUAUUUUUGAGGGAGAGGAGUUUCAGAGCAUUAUUACUAUUCUGUAAGAAUGGUAAGAUAGGCCACAGGAUUUUGGUGGUCACACCAAGUGGCCAUGUUUGAUUAUGCCAUAGGUUUGACCAGUAUGGUCAUAAAUGUUUGUUGUUUUCAUUUCCGACCUCAGGAAAUGUAAAUUAAUACUCCCUCCAUCCAUUUUUCAUUCGCGUAUACUUCUCGGCAGUGACCAAAUUAAGUUUGAAAAAAAAACCGUUUCAUUUUUGCUGUUGCAUGUGACGUGGCCCACGCCUGCAUGCAUGCGAAUAAAAGAUAGGACACAUGAAGUUUAGUUAGUAAGGGUAAGAAUACCAAAAUACUUUUGAGCAUUCUUCUGUCAUUAAUGUAACUGAAAUAAAAGAGGGACUGUCAGUGGAAUUAAUAUGAUUUAAUCUGGGUGUUUUGUUUAUGUGAACUAAUUUUAGUUUCUUCAUUUUAUUUUAUUUUAGUUCUUAAAAUGAGAAAUACAUAAAAACAGAGUUUUAGUUUUGGUAUCUGCCAAUUUAGAAACUAUGAUGGAACAAAAUGGAGGACUAAAACUUAGUCUCUAGAAACUAAACAUCCCUUAGGGCUGAUUUGGUGACCAGGGAUCACGGAGGGAUUAGAGGGGAUUGAGGGGGAAAUUAGUUUAUUUUUCCCUCAAUCCCCUCCGAUCCCCCCGUGAUCCCCUUAUCACCAAAUUAACCCUUAAGGGCUGAUUUGGUGCUAAGGGAUCCUAAGGGGAUCCAUGAGGGAGGAAUCCCCUUGUUAUUCAAAAUUGAAUUGUAAGGGGAUUUCUCCCCCAUGGAUCCCCUUGGAAUCCCUUACCACCAAAUUAGCCCUAAGGGGUGUUUAAAUGCACUAGAGCUAAAACUUAGUCUCUAGAAACUAAACAUCUCUUAGGGCUUGUUCGUUUUGGUGAUAAUCCACAUGUAUUGGGUGGGAUUGAGUCGGUUUAAAUCCAUAACAAGUCAAAAUACAUCUCAAUCCCACCCAAUACACUCAAAUACACAUGUAAUAUCAAUAACCGAACAAGCCCUUAAGGAGAGAGACAUGUCCUAAACGUAUCCUCUUGGAUGGUCGCGUCCAUAUCCUCGAGCAGUGCGGUCUUGCUCAAGCAGCUUUUUGUAACGAUUAAAUACAUAUAGGACAUGCAUACGUCAGCAAGUGACUUAGUGUCGUACCCGUGAAGCACGGACGACGCGACGCUCUCCAAACCGGUAACGAUUAUGCGUGGACGAUCAGUCUGCAUAGAUUGGAAUUUGGAAAUUUUGGUCUGCUUCAUUUUUUCUCUCGCUCAUUUUUGGCCCAACGGCCCAGCCCAUUGAGUAAAGCAACUGGUGCCCUAUAUAUACGCAAAAAGACAUGACUGCCUCUGCACACCGCCACUCGCCCACACGCGAAGGCACCUAGCAGCCGCCACUCGCCGAACUGAGGAACACGCCUGGCGACGGGAUACAGCAGCAGCGCGCCCCUCUAUCCCCGACGCGACGGCGCCCUGCAGCUGCAGGCACGGCUCCACACCUCCACUCUUCUCCUCCGUCUCCGUUCAUCUCUGCUGAGUAGUUGUGGUUGUGGCGUGUGGAUUAAUCGCGAUUAAUCGAUCUGAUCGGCGCUCUGGCGAUCAGAAACGAUCGACCGAUUAGAAAACAUUGGUGCUCAGGCAUCUGCAUCGGUCAACACCCCCCCC